Molecule: ribosomal RNA, 327 nt
Filed under: uncultured eukaryote
Lineage: Eukaryota
Description: partial 18S ribosomal RNA
Rfam family: Eukaryotic small subunit ribosomal RNA
Source: RNAcentral
CCCUUAGAUGUUCUGGGCCGCACGCGCGCUACACUGACGAAUGCAACGAGCUUAUAACCAUGGCCGAAAGGUCUGGGUAAUCUCCAAAUUUCGUCGUGAUGGGGAUAGAUUAUUGCAAUUAUUAAUCUUCAACGAGGAAUGCCUAGUAAGCGCAAGUCAUCAGCUUGCGUUGAUUACGUCCCUGCCCUUUGUACACACCGCCCGUCGCUCCUACCGAUUGAAUGGUCCGGUGAAGCGUUCGGACCGUGGCCUUUGGACGGUUCGCCGUCUGUUGGCUGCGGGAAGUUCGUUAAACCUUAUCAUUUAGAGGAAGGAGAAGUCGUAACA